GCAGGGCUAAUUCACUUGUGAUGUUGCUAGAACUAUAUCUGAGUUGCCUAAUAUUGUCGCAGGGAUGACUCAUAUGGUAGAAAAUCCUUCUUGGAAUCAUUUGGAUUUUCUCUGGGCCAUAGAUGCAGACAAGGAAGUUUAUGCUGAUGUCCUGGCCAAUAUGAAAACUUGUUGGGAAACUGAUUGCAGACGACGAUAAAAUCAAAUGUAAAAACCAAAUUCUUAUAUUUGUUUAGAUUAAAAAAUGUUCAAAUAAAAAAGCAUGCCAAAAAAUUACUCCUUUUAAAG
Eurytemora carolleeae is the source of this 288-nucleotide long non-coding RNA. RefSeq lists it as uncharacterized. The transcript is spliced from 3 exons. The record is from RefSeq and is a predicted model, not a curated record. NCBI's taxonomy places the organism in Eukaryota, Metazoa, Arthropoda, Copepoda, Calanoida, Temoridae.